GCCGGGUGCGGUGGCACACGCCUAUAGUCCCAGCUACUCAGGAGGCUGAGGCUGGAGGAUUGCUUGAGUCUGGGAGUUCUGGGCUGUAGUGUGCUAUGCUGAUCGGGGGCCCACACUAAGUUUGGCAUCAAUAUGGUGACCUCCUGGGAGUGGGGGACUACCAGGUUGCCUAAGGAGGGGUAAACCGGCCCAGGUUGGAAACAGAGCAGGUCAAAACUCCUGUGCUGAUCAGUAGUGGGACUGUGCCUGUGAAUAGCCACUGUACUCCAGCCUGGGCAACAUAGCGAGACCCCAUCUGUU
Unclassified non-coding RNA from Callithrix jacchus (white-tufted-ear marmoset), 300 nucleotides. It matches the Rfam family "Metazoan signal recognition particle RNA". Rfam says of the family: The signal recognition particle (SRP) is a universally conserved ribonucleoprotein. It is involved in the co-translational targeting of proteins to membranes. The eukaryotic SRP consists of a 300-nucleotide 7S RNA and six proteins: SRPs 72, 68, 54, 19, 14, and 9. The record is from Ensembl. Lineage: Eukaryota; Metazoa; Chordata; Mammalia; Primates; Cebidae.